CGCGUAGGCGGCGGACCGAGUCGAGUGUGAAAGCCCCGGGCUCAACCUGGGAGGUGCGCUCGAGACUGGCCCGCUGGAGUUCGGGAGAGGAGAGCGGAAUUCCCAGUGUAGAGGUGAAAUUCGUAGAUAUUGGGAAGAACACCGGUGGCGAAGGCGGCCCUCUGGACCGAGACUGACGCUGAGGCGCGAAAGCGUGGGGAGCAAACAGGAUUAGAUACCCUGGUAGUCCACGCUGUAAACGAUGUGUGCUAGACGUUGGGGAGCGUAGCUCUUCGGUGUCGCCGCAAACGCUUUAAGCACACCGCCUGGGGAGUACGGCCGCAAGGUUAAA
RNAcentral lists this ribosomal RNA (331 nucleotides) under uncultured bacterium. RNAcentral describes it as "bacterial SSU rRNA". It matches the Rfam family "Bacterial small subunit ribosomal RNA", at positions 568 to 898 of the family's 1533-position model. The record is from RNAcentral.